RNAcentral lists this ribosomal RNA (449 nucleotides) under uncultured bacterium. Its description in RNAcentral is "partial 16S ribosomal RNA". It matches the Rfam family "Bacterial small subunit ribosomal RNA", at positions 29 to 523 of the family's 1533-position model. The record is from RNAcentral.
AAUGAACGCUGGCGGCAUGCCUAACACAUGCAAGUCGAACGAAGGCUUCGGCCUUAGUGGCGCACGGGUGCGUAACGCGUGGGAAUCAGCCCUCAGGUUCGGAAUAACAGCGAGAAAUUGCUGCUAAUACCGGAUGAUAUCGCGAGAUCAAAGAUUUAUCGCCUGAGGAUGAACCCGCGUAGGAUUAGCUAGUUGGUGUGGUAAAGGCGCACCAAGGCGACGAUCCUUAGCUGGUCUGAGAGGAUGAUCAGCCACACUGGGACUGAGACACGGCCCAGACUCCUACGGGAGGCAGCAGUGGGGAAUAUUGGACAAUGGGCGAAAGCCUGAUCCAGCAAUGCCGCGUGAGUGAUGAAGGCCUUAGGGUUGUAAAGCUCUUUUACCCGGGAUGAUAAUGACAGUACCGGGGGAAUAAGCUCCGGCUAACUCCGUGCCAGCAGCCGCCGCGG